Molecule: transfer RNA, 73 nt
Filed under: Stegodyphus mimosarum
Lineage: Eukaryota; Metazoa; Arthropoda; Arachnida; Araneae; Eresidae
Rfam family: tRNA
About the family: Transfer RNA (tRNA) molecules are approximately 80 nucleotides in length. Their secondary structure includes four short double-helical elements and three loops (D, anti-codon, and T loops).
Source: Rfam by way of RNAcentral
GCCUUCGUGGUUUAGUGGUCAGAACUCUGGGCGGGUAUUCCAGAGGUCCGUGGUUCGAGUCACGACGAAGUCG